UUAGCCAUUUGGAUCCUUGUAGUAUAUAUUGGCUACAGUAGGUUCAUUGUAUGAGCAGGGUGCACACGUAGAUGAGAUCUAUCAACUUUAGUAGAUAAGUAGUCCUAUAGGAUUUGAGAAGCUAAGUCUUUAAGUCUGUGGCUACAGUAAGGUGAUUGAUGGAAAAAAGUUUUCAUGAUUUGGACUCAAGCUAAUUAAAUCUUGUAUAUGACAGAUGUUGUGUUAGAACCAACAGCACCCUGGUAUCACCUAACUCUGAUACCAAC
RNAcentral lists this long non-coding RNA (266 nucleotides) under Elaeis guineensis (African oil palm). RNAcentral describes it as "long non-coding RNA (EGUI_LNC034117)". Lineage: Eukaryota; Viridiplantae; Streptophyta; Magnoliopsida; Arecales; Arecaceae. The record is from RNAcentral.